CACCUCCAGCAUCCCUAGUAUUGGAGGCACUGCCUGCCCAGUGACUAAACGUUAAACGGCCGCGGUAUUCUGACCGUGCAAAGGUAGCAUAAUCAUUUGUUCUCUAAAUAAGGACUUGUAUGAAUGGCCACACGAGGGUUUUACUGUCUCUUACUUCCAAUCAGUGAAAUUGACCUCCCCGUGAAGAGGCGGGGAUAAAUCAACAAGACGAGAAGACCCUAUGGAGCUUUAACUAAGUAACUCGAGGAAAAUAAAUUCAACCACCAAGGGAUAACAACACUCCUUAUGAGUUAACAGUUUCGGUUGGGGUGACCUCGGAGAACAGAAAAUCCUCCGAGCGAUUUUAAAGACUAGACUAACAAGUCAAACCAAACCAUCGCUUAUUGAUCCAAAAACUUGAUCAACGGAACAAGUUACCCUAGGGAUAACAGCGCAAUCCUAUUCAAGAGUCCAUAUCGACAAUAGGGUUUACGACCUCGAUGUUGGAUCAGGACACCCCGAUGGUGCAACCGCUAUCAAAGGUUCGUUUGUUCAACGAUUAAAGUCCU
This 548-nucleotide ribosomal RNA is filed under the name Ovis aries (sheep). RNAcentral describes it as "partial large subunit ribosomal RNA". It matches the Rfam family "Bacterial large subunit ribosomal RNA", at positions 1817 to 2597 of the family's 2925-position model. Lineage: Eukaryota; Metazoa; Chordata; Mammalia; Artiodactyla; Bovidae. The record is from RNAcentral.